CGCAGACCCACUGUUGACUUUCACCCC
This 27-nucleotide non-coding RNA is filed under the name Homo sapiens (human). Lineage: Eukaryota; Metazoa; Chordata; Mammalia; Primates; Hominidae. The record is from RNAcentral.